Long non-coding RNA from Mastomys coucha (southern multimammate mouse), 274 nucleotides. RefSeq lists it as uncharacterized. The record is from RefSeq and is a predicted model, not a curated record. The transcript has 4 exons. Lineage: Eukaryota; Metazoa; Chordata; Mammalia; Rodentia; Muridae.
CAGACCCCAGGAUCUAGUUUCCAGGACACUCAGUCCCUCAUUGUUGAAGAUGUGAUCUUGGAAGAGCAGCUGUCUGCAUUGUGUUGACAUGAGCUUUACUCUGGACUUUUAAAUCACCCAGUCCUUGGAGUCAACACUGUGGUCGACGAUUCUUAAAGAUUUUGGUGCCAGGAUCUGCAAGCUGGGAACCACAUGUGGAAGAAGAGAAAAGACACACAAGGCUACACACUCCACCAGCCAGACCUGCUUCAUCUUCUCAGCUCUGUACAACAGG